CGGGGAGAGCAGGCAGUCGCGCUAAUAAUUGUUAGUGAGGAAAGUCCGAACACCGCAGAGCAGAACGCUUGAUAACAUCAAGGCGGUAAUGUACAUCGGGAUAACACCCGAAAUACAAAGCCGACGGAUAGUGCAACAGAAAAUAUACCGCUGUUAAUCAGUAAGGGUGAAAUGGUGCGGUAAGAGCGCACCGCAAUUGUAGCGAUACAGUUGGCAGUGUAAACCACGUUCGGUGCAAAACCAAAUAGGAUACAACGCUUUUUAAGCAUCCGGUUGCUCGGCGGAGAUGUUGUAUUGGGUAGGUUGCAUGAAUUAUACAGUAAUGUAUAAUCAAGAUGAAUGAUUGCCUCCGUUGUGAAACACCAAUGCAGACAGAAUUCGGCUUAUCGCUCUCUUCGUUUA
RNAcentral lists this RNase P RNA (402 nucleotides) under Kapaibacterium sp. (SeqCode). Its description in RNAcentral is "RNase P RNA component class A". It matches the Rfam family "Bacterial RNase P class A". Rfam says of the family: Ribonuclease P (RNase P) is a ubiquitous endoribonuclease, found in archaea, bacteria and eukarya as well as chloroplasts and mitochondria. Its best characterised activity is the generation of mature 5'-ends of tRNAs by cleaving the 5'-leader elements of precursor-tRNAs. Cellular RNase Ps are ribonucleoproteins. The record is from RNAcentral. Lineage: Bacteria; Pseudomonadati; Bacteroidota; Eximiradiia; Eximiradiales; Kapaibacteriaceae (SeqCode).